RNAcentral lists this ribosomal RNA (4669 nucleotides) under Triticum aestivum (bread wheat). Its description in RNAcentral is "partial small subunit ribosomal RNA". The record is from RNAcentral. Lineage: Eukaryota; Viridiplantae; Streptophyta; Magnoliopsida; Poales; Poaceae.
CGCCGGUCGAGUCGCCACGCAAGUGUUCGUGAAACGUCACGAGUUAGCCACGUACGUGCUUGCAGCCUAUCUUAUCCAUAUCCCUUUCGUCUCCAGAGAGCCCGAACCACAUGUUUUCUUCUUCCUCUCCCUUAGAUCGUAAUCUCCACACAGGCCCGCACAAUCACCGUAACCAAGCUACGCGGCCGCAUGCUGUAGGGGGGUGCGGCCACUAACGCUGCAAGGUGCGAAGCCAAGGGGCGCUCCUCGCAUGGCCGCGCGUCCACCUUCCUUUUCUCACCUCCCACAGCGCCGUGACAACCAUGGCCAUGGGCGGGUCUGGGAGCUUGGUGGAGCAGCAUCAUCAGCUGUGGAAUAUUGGUUGUAGCAAAUUCAAUCACCGGUGGUAGCAAAAAUCUACUACGGUUGCAGCAAAACGGCGUCAUCGCCAUCACGAGUCGCAGCUGAGAUAAGAAGCUUGAAGCUUUUUUCAAUGCGGUUGUAACUUUUAUAACUGUCGGUUGCAACUUUCGUUUUUCGUCCAUGGCUUCGUUUCCACGAUUGAAACUUUUUUUAUAGUCGGAUCAAGCUUUUUUCGUUGCUAGAUGAAGCUUUUUUUGUCACCGGUUGUAACUUUUCUUGGUCAUCCAUACCUCCAGUCGUAUACUGGUUGAAGCUUUUUUCAUAGCCGGUUGAAGCUUUUCCUAUCGCUAGUUGUAGCUUUUUUCGUCAUUGGUUGUAGCACUGGGCUUCUCCCCCGGUGCUCGAUUUUUUGUUGCAAGCCGCACACCGGGGAUGAGCAGCGGCGAGCAUGGCGGCAAGCUUCAGUCGUCGCAACCGGAGCUACAAUGGUCUCAACAAGAGCUUCAACCGCGGGGUGCGGCUGUUGCACGGGGUAAAGCAACAAGGACGGACGGCGGUGGUUGGGGCUGGUGACUGGGAUGGUGGCCGGCGGGGACGAGGGCGGACGGCUGUGACGAGGACGGUGGCCGGCGGGACGAGGGCGGACAGCUGCGACGAGGACGGCAGCUUCGUGGACGAGGGCGGCCGGCGAGCUGGCUGGCAUAUGGAAGAUCACGGGGCAGUGGGGAUGAACAGAUGGCAUGACUUUUUUUUUUACCAGCGCAGCAAUUGGGGAAGAUGCAAUCGUGCGACUAUUAUGAAACGCAUCUUACGUCUACGGUACGACCGGCCGAAUUAUUCGACCGGCGCACCGGCGCAGAUCAGUGCCUUUUCUAUUUCCCUCGGUUGCUUCCCUCCAUUUUUUUCAUUUCCCUCCAAAAUAAGCUAACUGCCCAAAAAUCCUCCGCACCUCUCCCCAUCUAUCUCAACAGCACAAGUCCUGGGUUUCUCUUCCCCAACACCUCUGCCGGCUGGCGGCGGCAGGCGAUUCUCCGCCAUCUCUCCGAUUGCAGGUUAGUGCCUCCUUCGCACGGCCUCUCUCUUGCAUUCGACCUCCUACUGGGCUGAUCAGUCCGGCCACCGCGUUCGCGCACCUGUAAUCGCUCUGCCAUAGCGCGCACAGCGCCGCGUCCUCUGUUCCGGGGUCUUCAACCGGAUCAAGCCAUCGAGGGCAGCCGCGGCACCCAGCAGCUGGGGAACCCGAAGCGUUGGGCUGGGUCGUCGAGGCAACGCAGGCGUUCGCUCGCUGCUGCCAUGUUUCCCAUUCCUUGCCUUGCCUUAAUACAAAUCGGGUUGACUAGAAUCAAGGCAUGAAACCAGGCAACUAAUUAAUUAGUUAAACCACCAUACCACGCUUCGUCUAUUUGGGCCGUGUUCCGCUUGUCGAUUUUGUCAGUUAACAGCUGCUGAAGUAGUUCUUCAGUUUCGUCAGUUUAGGUUGUGUUUUUCCCUUUCCGUUAGUUUCGUCAGUAGCAAGUUUCUUCAGUUAGCAGAAAAUAAGCUGAGCUGCGACUCGGCGUAGUUUGUUAGCACUUUCCGCGGCCCUGACCUGAUCGUGGGAUGGCACGAAGGAGACGGUCAUGGCCGCAUCGCGGGGAGCGCUGGGAUGACAGCGCUCACGACCCGGACGUGCCUUGUUUCUUGUUUUUCAGUUGGUCUCUCUAAUUGCUGAAUAAGAAGGAAUAGAGAGCAGAAAGUUGUGAGGUUGAACGCGGCACAAAACUCCAUUGGCUCCCUCGUGUGAGCUCGAGCGCUAGGUCUGACAGAUUUGCUGGUCUAAGGAGUAGUUAAUUGCAAGUCUAACUAGCACGUGACAAUCUGCAUUAGCUUGUGGGUCAAUGUUGUGAAAUGUAUUACUACUUGAUCAGUGGUAUAUGUAGACCAGUGCUCAACUACAUGCUAGUUUGACUAAAUUUACAAUGUUUUUAACUUUAUGUUUUGGUUUUCUCAUGGAGCAGAUAUGACACGAAGUAAACUUCAUGUUGUUGAAUGCAAUGAUGAAUACAUGGCGGAGGAACAUAUUGAACAUGAGAAUGCCAUGCCUAAAGAUGCUGAUUCAUCUCAUGUUCAACCAUCAUCUUGUAAUAGCGAAGAAGGCUUGACUGAUAGUGAAGAUGAAGAGGACCAGGAUGACAGUGCUGCUAAUGAACAAGAUGAAGAUGGAGAAACAACCAAGCGUGGCAGGACAAGGCUAAAAGAAAUAUGGAAUCUUCCAAAAGGGCAGAGAAUUGUGGUCCAGUGCAAUGAACUAAACCAGCCAAUUGGAACAGAAGCUGGACGUCUUGCGAAUUUUCUUGGCACGGUUGCUAGGAAUGGAAAAUUGUGUAGUUUGAGCUACAAGGACUGGAGAAAACUAAUAGGAGAGAGAGAAAAAAGACCAAUGAACAAAGAAACAAAAGUGAUAUACUAGCGCAAGUAAAGAUGAGAUUUCUUACCCUUCUCGCUUGGAAAAGUAUAUAUUAAAGAAAAUUGGAGAUAGAUGGAGGCAACAUAAGUCAGAUCUGAAAGCACUGUAUUUUGAUGCAAAUAAGAGCAUGGAAGCGAAUAACACCAAUGUUCCAAAGGGUGUGAUUAAGGAUCAGUGGAUUACUCUGGUCAAUAAUUCGAUGACCCCAAAGGCACAGGGGAUAAGUGAGAAAAAUAGGAACAACUGUGCGAUGAGGAAGUCGAAACACACGGCUGGAACUAAGAGUUUUCCACGAGUUAGAGAACAGCUGAGACUAAAGGAUCCGGAAAAGAAGUACCCCCACAGGGUUGUCUUAUACAUGCAUACCCAUCAGCACAAAAGCGACAAGAAAAUGAAUGAACAAGUGGUUGAUUUGAAGAAACGGAUAGCAGCGAAUCCAGAUUUAGUAGAUACUAGUAGAGGAAAGACAGCAUGGAAAGGAGAUGUUUUGAAUGCAGUACUUGGCGCAGACAAGCCUGGACAUGUACAUGGCCUCGGACUAGUUCCGAAUCCAAAUCAAGUCUUUGAUGUGUCAACUUCACGCCACUUUCAGAAUAUACACCUUAGUUCAUUGGAGGAUACAUCGAAUGAAGAUCUUUUGGCUGUCAGACUUAAGAUGGAGAAGUUGGAGAAAAGAGUGGAAAACCAAGAUGCCGAAAUUCUGGAACUAAAAGGGAAGACAAAAAACUCUGAAGGACAGUUACAGGGUUCUUUGGAUCAGAUAUCUAAAUCUCGAGAUGUUCCUUCUAUUGCUAAGACAAUUUCAAAGAGAAAAAGAAUUUAUGGCGACGGUCAUAGUCAACAACUUGGUACUGUUGGGCAGCAGAAUAAUGUGAAGAGCAAGGAAACAUUUCUCGAUGACAGGGAGAUGCAACCAUCAUACAAACGUCCUCUUGUGGAUAGAGCAAUGAGUCUUUCAUCCAGGAUGAAAAUGUGCAACAAGAGAAGGAAAACACUAGUGCAGAUAAGGGUUCUUUGGGUGAGGAGUCUACAUCUCAAGAUGCUCUUUGUGUUGGCAAGACAAAUUCAAAACAGAAAAGCAAGGAAAACUUUCUCUAUGACAUGGAGAUGCAACCAUCAAACAAACGUCCUUCUAAGGAUAAGAACAAAGAUACUUCUAUCCAUGAUGAACAUGUGCAACAAGAGAAGGCAAACACUAGUGCAGAUAAGCUUCGUUGCCAGAACACUAGUAAGAUCUCAAGAGGAGCUAAUGCAACAAAGCAUGCCAAUAAACAACAAUGCAGUACAACAAAUUGCCUGGGUGCCGACUCGAUAGAUGUUGGCACUGUAGUCUUUUUGAAGAGCUUGGGAAAUCCAAACAGGAACGUUGCUCUUGGUACGCUCCAAAGCAUGGACCCAGAAUAUAAAGUUGAGGGUGUUCAUCUUGGUAACCAAUUCUGGGCAGUGCGAGUUGAUGCUACAUUAGCAAAAUCUGAUCAGUUGAUACGACCACUAAAAAAGGUCAACAUUAUUGGUCAUGCAGCAGGAUUAAUUAUCGCAUGGCCUUCAACCUUUAUUGCUAAGAUAAAAUUGAUGAUGUAUGGCCCAGAUGUUGAUUGCAAGGUGGACAAUGGGCUCCUAUUUGUUAGUCUUGUGUAGUGUUUUAGGAUGUCAUUUCUAGUGUCAAUGUUUCAAACAUUAUGUUUUAGAAUGGUUGUGGCGUUGAUUGAAACGUCCAGACUUAGGGUACUAUGUAGUAUCACUUAUUGUAACCUUGGGAUCAUGUUAUUUGUAAUGCAACAAAGUCAAUUUAAUAUACGAGACCUUUAUGUUCAUUAUAUUGUGGCUCCAUGCAUUGUCAGCUUUGCCAAUGUUAUUGUAGAUCACAAUAUAUGAAAUACC